RNAcentral lists this ribosomal RNA (253 nucleotides) under uncultured bacterium. RNAcentral's name for it is "partial 16S ribosomal RNA". It matches the Rfam family "Bacterial small subunit ribosomal RNA", at positions 524 to 776 of the family's 1533-position model. The record is from RNAcentral.
UACGAAGGGGGCUAGCGUUGCUCGGAAUUACUAGGCGUAAAGCGUGCGUAGACGGUUUCGUAAGUCGGGUGUGAAAUCCCCGGGCUCAACCUGGGAAUUGCAUUCGAAACUGCGAGGCUAGGGUACGGAAGAGGGAAGCGGAAUUUCUGGUGUAGCGGUGAAAUGCGUAGAUAUCAGAAGGAACAUCAGUGGCGAAAGCGGCUUCCUGGUCCAGUACCGACGUUCAGGCACGAAAGCGUGGGGAGCAAACAGG